Molecule: long non-coding RNA, 300 nt
Filed under: Astyanax mexicanus (Mexican tetra)
Lineage: Eukaryota; Metazoa; Chordata; Actinopteri; Characiformes; Acestrorhamphidae
Description: lncRNA (ENSAMXG00005021573.1)
Source: RNAcentral
AAGUUUCUUCAGUACAUGCCACACCCCUUUUCUGUCUGGUUUUAAUUUCAGCUCACUUUUGUGCAGAGCUCCAUUUUGUUCAGGCGUCGCAACAGGGCUGUUCUCCUUCUUAGAAAAACAUUUGUUCUGACAUUACUGUACAAAUGGAUAACAGAGGGGAAAACAGAACAGCUGAAACGGACAACCUUUCUAAAAAACGUCCAAGCUCCAGUCCUGAGAGGCCUGGAAUUGGUAAGAUUUUUUUUUUGUCAUUGUCGUUUUUAUUUGCUUUUAGUAAAUUGUUUAUGAAGGGAAAUGGAA